This 312-nucleotide transfer-messenger RNA is filed under the name chicken gut metagenome. RNAcentral describes it as "Alphaproteobacteria transfer-messenger RNA". It matches the Rfam family "Alphaproteobacteria transfer-messenger RNA". From Rfam's summary of the family: Bacterial tmRNA, also known as 10Sa RNA or SsrA, is named for its dual tRNA and mRNA-like properties. Its role is to liberate the mRNA from a stalled ribosome. The record is from RNAcentral.
AUCCUUAUAUAAUACGAGCGCCGGUUUUGCCGGCUAUGAUGCUAAACACCCUGCGGAAUAGGCGUUGCGGACCCGGGGGCGGUACCCGGCGCCUCCACCAUUUACGGGGGCGAAACAGGAUCGACGCGCGUAGUAAAGACAGGAUCUGCAUCCGGCAUGGUACCGCCGUUAUCGGGCUAAAUCUUUGAAUGCGAACGAUAAUCGCACUCAGGUUGCUCUCGCUGCCUAAUCGGCGGUCGGAACGACCAAACUUAAUUCCCGUGCCUUGAGCGGUACGGGUGGGGCGGGGACUUGCCUAGCAACAGAAGUGUC